Molecule: ribosomal RNA, 748 nt
Filed under: uncultured bacterium
Lineage: Bacteria
Description: bacterial SSU rRNA
Rfam family: Bacterial small subunit ribosomal RNA
Source: RNAcentral
AGGGUCCGUAGGCGGCCAUGUGUGUCGGGUGUGAAAUCCUGCAGCUCAACUGCAGAACUGCGCUCGAAACUACAUGACUAGAGUAUUGGAGAGGUGAGCGGAAUUCCAGGUAUAGCGGUGAAAUGCGUAGAUAUCUGGAGGAACACCAACGGCGAAGGCAGCUCACUGGACAAUUACUGACGCUGAGGGACGAAAGCGUGGGGAGCAAAAGGGAUUAGAUACCCCUGUAGUCCACGCCGUAAACGUUGUGCACUCGCUAUUGGCGGCUUCGACCCCGUCAGUGGCUAAGCUAACGCGAUAAGUGCACCGCCUGAGGACUACGGCCGCAAGGCUAAAACUCAAAGGAAUUGACGGGUCCCCGCACAAGCGGUGGAGCAUGUGGCUUAAUUCGAUGCAACGCGAAGAACCUUACCAGGCCUUGACAUGUAGUGGACCGGGACAGAAAUGUCCCUUCUCUUCGGAGCCGCUUCACAGGUGCUGCAUGGCUGUCGUCAGCUCGUGUCGUGAGAUGUUCGGUUAAGUCCGUCAACGAGCGCAACCCCUGUCCUUAGUUGCCAUCAUUCAGUUGGGGACUCUAAGGAGACAAUCCCGCAUUCGCGGGAGGGAAGGUGGGGAUGAUGUCAAGUCAGUAUGGCCCUUACGGCCUGGGCUGCACUCGUGCUACAAUGCCCGGUACAGUGGGAUGCUACUCCGCGAGGAGAUGCCGACCCCCAAAGCCGGGCUCAGUUCGGAUUGGAGUCUGCAACUC